GACGAACGCUGGCGGCGUGCUUAACACAUGCAAGUCGAACGGAAAGGCCCUGCUUUUGUGGGGUGCUCGAGUGGCGAACGGGUGAGUAACACGUGAGUAACCUGCCCUUGACUUUGGGAUAACUUCAGGAAACUGGGGCUAAUACCGGAUAGGAGCUCCUGCUGCAUGGUGGGGGUUGGAAAGUUUCGGCGGUUGGGGAUGGACUCGCGGCUUAUCAGCUUGUUGGUGGGGUAGUGGCUUACCAAGGCUUUGACGGGUAGCCGGCCUGGGAGGGUGACCGGCCACAUUGGGACUGAGAUACGGCCCAGACUCCUACGGGAGGCAGCAGUGGGGAAUAUGGCACAAUGGGCGGAAGCCUGAUGCAGCAACGCCGCGUGCGGGAUGACGGCCUUCGGGUUGUAAACCGCUUUCGCCUGUGACGAAGCGUGAGGGACGGUAAUGGGUAAAGAAGCACCGGCUAACUACGU
RNAcentral lists this ribosomal RNA (467 nucleotides) under uncultured bacterium. RNAcentral's name for it is "partial 16S ribosomal RNA". It matches the Rfam family "Bacterial small subunit ribosomal RNA", at positions 28 to 506 of the family's 1533-position model. The record is from RNAcentral.